RNAcentral lists this ribosomal RNA (253 nucleotides) under uncultured bacterium. Its description in RNAcentral is "partial 16S ribosomal RNA". It matches the Rfam family "Bacterial small subunit ribosomal RNA", at positions 524 to 776 of the family's 1533-position model. The record is from RNAcentral.
UACGGGGGGGGCGAGCGUUGUUCGGAAUUACUGGGCGUAAAGGGCUCGUAGGCGGCCAACUAAGUCAGGCGUGAAAUCCCUCAGCUUAACUGGGGAACUGCGUCUGAUACUGGAUGGCUUGGAUUCGGGAGAGGAAUGCGGAAUUCCAGGUGUAGCGGUGAAAUGCGUAGAUAUCUGGAGGAACACCGGUGGCGAAGGCGGCAUUCUGGACCGAUAUUGACGCUGAGGAGCGAAAGCCAGGGGAGCAAACGGG